GCGUUGAAACACCGGUUCCCGUACGAUUCACCAAAGUUAAGCAACGUCGAGCCUGGUCAUUACCUAGAAGGGUGAUCGCUUAGGAAUACCAGGUGCUGUAAG
This is a non-coding RNA of Acanthosepion pharaonis, 102 nucleotides long. The record is from the annotation of a GenBank genome assembly. Lineage: Eukaryota; Metazoa; Mollusca; Cephalopoda; Sepiida; Sepiidae.